Molecule: ribosomal RNA, 492 nt
Filed under: uncultured bacterium
Lineage: Bacteria
Description: partial 16S ribosomal RNA
Rfam family: Bacterial small subunit ribosomal RNA
Source: RNAcentral
AGUGAACGCUGGCGGUAGGCCUAACACAUGCAAGUCGAACGGCAGCACAGUAAGAGCUUGCUCUUACGGGUGGCGAGUGGCGGACGGGUGAGGAAUACAUCGGAAUCUACUUUUUCGUGGGGGAUAACGUAGGGAAACUUACGCUAAUACCGCAUACGACCUACGGGUGAAAGCAGGGGAUCUUCGGACCUUGCGCGAUUGAAUGAGCCGAUGUCGGAUUAGCUAGUUGGCGGGGUAAAGGCCCACCAAGGCGACGAUCCGUAGCUGGUCUGAGAGGAUGAUCAGGCACACUGGAACUGAGAAACGGUCCAGACUCCUACGGGAGGCAGCAGUGGGGAAUAUUGGACAAUGGGCGCAAGCCUGAUCCAGCCAUACCGCGUGGGUGAAGAAGGCCUUCGGGUUGUAAAGCCCUUUUGUUGGGAAAGAAAAGCAGCAGGUUAAUACCCCGCUGUUCUGACGGUACCCAAAGAAUAAGCACCGGCUAACUUCGUG